UGGCUUGGAAGCAGCCAUUCAUUUAAAGAGUGCGUAACAGCUCACUAGUCGAGCGUUCCUGCGCGGAAAAUAAGCGGGCAUCAAGCGAUCCGCCGAAGCCAUGGAUGUCACGAAAGUGACAUGGUAGGGGAGCAUUCCGGUUGCGUAGAAGCCGUGUCGUGAGGCAUGGUGGAGCGGUCGGAAAAGCAAAUGUAGGCAUGAGUAACGAUAAAGGAUGUGAAAAACAUCCUCGCCGUAAGACCAAGGAUUCCUGAUCGAUGUUAAUCAGAUCAGGGUUAGUCGGGACCUAAGGAGUAGCCGAGAGGCGAAUCUGAUGGCAAACGGGUUAAUAUUCCCGUACCUGUUAUAAGUUAAAAAGGUGACGGAGAGGUGUAGUGCACGCGUACUGACGGAAUAGUACGUUGAACCAUCUGAGAGGAUGGGAUAGUACACUAAGUCCACUGGACGAGGUGAUAGUUGCAUGAAGCCGCUUCCAAGAAAAGCCGAAUUAUAACAGCCCGUACCGUAAACCGACACAGGUGGUCGAGUCGAGUAGACUAAGGCGCUCGAGUGAUUCACGGCUAAGGAAUUCGGCAAAAUGGUCUCGUAACUUCGGGAGAAGAGACCCCCACGCGAGUGGGGCGCAGUGAAUAGGUCCAGGCGACUGUUUAGCAAAAACACAGGGCUCUGCGAAAUCGAAAGAUGAAGUAUAGGGUCUGACACCUGCCCGGUGCCGGAAGGUUAAGGAAGGGGGUUAGUCGAAAGGCGAAGCUCUUGACUGAAGCCCCGGUAAACGGCGGCCGUAACUAUAACGGUCCUUGUCGGGUAAGUUCCGACCUGCACGAAUGGUGUAACGAUCUGGACGCUGUCUCAGCCGUGAGCUCGGUGAAAUUGAAGUAUCGGUGAAGAUGCCGAUUACCCGCAACGGGACGAAAAGACCCCGUGAACCUUUACUAUAGCUUCACAUUGUGUUUGAGUAUAGGAUGUGUAGGAUAGGUGGGAGGCUAUGAAUCUGGCACGCUAGUGUUGGUGGAGCCGCCGUUGAAAUACCACCCUUUCUAUACUUAGAUUCUAACUUUCCUUAUGGAGAGGACAGUGUGUGGUGGGUAGUUUGACUGGGGUGGUCGCCUCCUAAAGAGUAACGGAGGCUUGCAAAGGUACCCUCAGCAUGGACGGUAACCAUGCGAAGAGCGCAUUAGUAGAAGGGUGCUUGACUGAGAGAACGACGGUUCGAACAGGGACGAAAGUCGGCUAAAGUGAUCCGGUGUUUCCGCAUGGAAGGGACAUCGCUCAAAGGAUAAAA
RNAcentral lists this ribosomal RNA (1282 nucleotides) under bioreactor sludge metagenome. Its description in RNAcentral is "bacterial LSU rRNA". It matches the Rfam family "Bacterial large subunit ribosomal RNA", at positions 1102 to 2461 of the family's 2925-position model. The record is from RNAcentral.